CCCGGGCCUUGUACACACCGCCCGUCACACCACGAAAGUUGGUAACACCCGAAGCCAGUGGGGCCCAACCGCAAGGAGGGAGCUGUCGAAGGUGGGACCAGCGAUUGGGGUG
Molecule: ribosomal RNA, 112 nt
Filed under: uncultured bacterium
Lineage: Bacteria
Description: partial 16S ribosomal RNA
Rfam family: Bacterial small subunit ribosomal RNA
Source: RNAcentral